Molecule: non-coding RNA, 128 nt
Organism: Diaporthe sp. PMI_573
Lineage: Eukaryota; Fungi; Ascomycota; Sordariomycetes; Diaporthales; Diaporthaceae
Source: the annotation of a GenBank genome assembly
GGUCCGGUGGUGUAGUUGGUUCAUCACGUUAGUCUAACAUUAAAAAUAACUCAUUACGAGCCCUUCUGGGUUCGUGGAGUCGUUAAUGUGAGCACUAAAGGUCCCCGGUUCAAGCCCGGGCCAGAUCA